UACGUAGGGGGCAAGCGUUAUCCGGAUUUACUGGGUGUAAAGGGAGCGUAGACGGCGUAUCAAGUCUGAUGUGAAAGGCAUGGGCUCAACCCGUGGACUGCAUUGGAAACUGGUAUGCUUGAGUGCCGGAGGGGUAAGCGGAAUUCCUAGUGUAGCGGUGAAAUGCGUAGAUAUUAGGAGGAACACCAGUGGCGAAGGCGGCUUACUGGACGGUAACUGACGUUGAGGCUCGAAAGCGUGGGGAGCAAACAGG
This 253-nucleotide unclassified non-coding RNA is filed under the name uncultured Lachnospiraceae bacterium. Its description in RNAcentral is "contains 16S-23S intergenic spacer region". It matches the Rfam family "Bacterial small subunit ribosomal RNA", at positions 524 to 776 of the family's 1533-position model. Lineage: Bacteria; Bacillati; Bacillota; Clostridia; Lachnospirales; Lachnospiraceae. The record is from RNAcentral.